CCUUCGAUAGCUCAGCUGGAAGAGCGGAGGACUGUAGGAGAGUAAUAUCAGUUAUCCUUAGGUCGCUGGUUCGACUCCGGCUCGAAGGA
RNAcentral lists this transfer RNA (89 nucleotides) under Hippoglossus stenolepis (Pacific halibut). RNAcentral describes it as "tRNA-Tyr". It matches the Rfam family "tRNA". Rfam says of the family: Transfer RNA (tRNA) molecules are approximately 80 nucleotides in length. Their secondary structure includes four short double-helical elements and three loops (D, anti-codon, and T loops). The record is from RNAcentral. Lineage: Eukaryota; Metazoa; Chordata; Actinopteri; Pleuronectiformes; Pleuronectidae.